GUUCCUCAGCCACAACAAGAUCUCCCAGCUGAAGCCCCGAAUUUUCAAGGACCUGCAGCACCUCGAGUGGCUGUGAGUGCCCCCUGGGUCGUGCCCCCAGUGCGUGAUCCCCGUGCGCCGUGACACCAAUUCCUCGGGGAGGGGGGGACUAACUGAGGCUGGGGCUCGUCCACGAUCUCAUUCACGGGUGUCAGAUGGAGGACUGCUCUACAAGGUGAUUCCCCUCCCGAGCGUGCAGGGACGGCCCAGCCAGGACAGGUCUGCUCCCCGUCAGGUUUCCCCCUAUUUGCCAUGGGACCAGCGCAGUUAUUCCUUAAAUCAAAGAAGGGAGAACAGAAUGAUGAACGACUCACGGAGGGUGGUCCGUGGCGCAAACAAGCCAAAGGGCUUUUGAGAAGCCAAGCACGGCCCUGAAUUCCCCGGGUGGCUUUUAAUUUAUCGUUAUUUCACAGCAGAGGAGAGGAAAAUCCAACAGGCCCUGCCUGUGAAGGAAUCCAGGCUCUGCAGCUGGAGCUGAUGCAGGAUUCAUGGGGAGCGGGAUGGGAUGGGGGGGAGCCCCCACCCAGGGGUGGCACCUGGGGGACCUGCAGGGCAGGAGGGGCAGAGGCAGCUCCCCGGGCACGGUGCUCGGCGUGCUCCUGGUGCCAGCAGCCUCCCGCUGCCUUCCUCGCCAGCAGCCAGUGCCCAUCUCACUCCUCCUCCUCCUCCCGCAGGAUGCUGGACAACAACAGGAUCGCCAGGAUCGCCCCCGCUGCCUUUGCCUGGGCUGAGGUCCCUGUACUUUCUGUACAUGCUGAACAACUCCCUGGCUAAGAUACCCAACACCUCCCUGUGUGCGGAGAUGCUGAAGCUGAGCUGGCUGUGAGUACCUGGCCUUGGGCAGGCGCUGCUCCCCGGGGUGGAUGGAGGGGGCUGGAGGCUCCCGGUGGGGAUGGGGAUGGGGACAGGGAUGCAGCCACAAAACCGCCUUUCCUGCAGGGAUCUGGAGGGGAACAGGAUCCGGGCGGUGCAUGGGGCCGUGUUCCAGGAGUGUCGCGAGCUCACCGUGCUGUGAGUACCCCAGGGACACCCCUGGGUGGGCUGGGGGUGGGGGGAGGCUCUGCUCGGACCCCUUUUCCCUCUGCUCUGGGCGAGGCAAGGGGCUGUGUUUCAGCUGCUAGGAGGGGCUGUGUUUCACGGGAACUGGUUUUGCUCCAUAUUUGUAUUGCUGUCGGCUUCAUGAAUUUGAU
This 1229-nucleotide long non-coding RNA is filed under the name Anas platyrhynchos (mallard). RNAcentral describes it as "lncRNA (ENSAPLG00020002459.1)". The record is from RNAcentral. Lineage: Eukaryota; Metazoa; Chordata; Aves; Anseriformes; Anatidae.